RNAcentral lists this ribosomal RNA (254 nucleotides) under uncultured bacterium. RNAcentral's name for it is "partial 16S ribosomal RNA". It matches the Rfam family "Bacterial small subunit ribosomal RNA", at positions 524 to 776 of the family's 1533-position model. The record is from RNAcentral.
UACGAAGGGGGCGAGCGUUGUCCGGAUUUAUUGGGCGUAAAGAGCUCGUAGGCGGUUCGGCAAGUCAGAUGUAAAAACUCCAGGCUCAACUUGGAGAGGCCAUCUGAUACUGCCGUGACUAGAGUCCGGUAGAGGAGCACGGAAUUCCUGGUGUAGCGGUGAAAUGCGCAGAUAUCAGGAGGAACACCAGCGGCGAAGGCGGUGCUCUGGGCCGGAACUGACGCUGAGGAGCGAAAGCGUGGGGAGCGAACAGG